UUAGCCUGUGUGAUAGGACAGGCAGGCAGGCACUGAAGAAGCAGAAUCUGUCGGCACUGCCAGUGGACAGGCCUGCCCUGCCCAGCCCACUUCCUGUGCCCUCCACCUGCAAACCUUCUCCACAUCAUCCUCGUCCACAUCCAAGAUGGCGCCAUCAUGGUCUAGCUUCACACGCACCUUGCCUUCUGGCAAGCUGAGCUCCUCAGAUUUGAGCUGACUGCCUACAGAGCGGGGACAGACAGUCAGACACAGGCCCGGGAAGCCUCUGCCACCCUCUUCAGGCCCUUUGUGGUCCUGUCCCUUCCCUACUAUAUCACUAGCCUCUCCUCACUCACCACCCAGGCCUCACCAGACCCAGAAGGCACACCCAGCCCGGAAACCUGAGAGGCCCAGGCAUCUGCACCCUGGGCCUCCCCAGACUCACCCAGAGAGAAGCCAUCCUUAUGGACCAGCCACACCUUCUCUGUCUCAUACCAGGCCUCCUCAGCUGCAAUCUGCUCUUCUGUCUUCACCUAUCAGAGGAAGGGGGGGUAAUAAAUAGUCAGACCUUGCUCUGGAAAACAGUCGGGACAGAAGAGAAGAGACAUGUGAGGGGAAGUGCUUCCAGAUGAGCCACCUGGUUAAACGUUCAUCUCGACUGGACACAUUCUACGGGUCAGAUGCUUGGAACCUGAUGAAGAAGGGGACAUCACAGGGUCCUGGCCUAGAACGAAUCCUUUAGAGCUAAUUCAAAGGUGAGAAGCCCACGUGAGGGCCCCCAGACUGCCAUGGAGCCAUCCUUCCAUAUUCAGGUGCUCCCCCCGUCCCCCCUGGCCUGGGAACCAUACACGUGAGGUGGCAUUACAGGAGUUGUGAAGAUCCUCUCAAGGCGCUGGUGGGCCUCCUCUGCGGGGGUCAGCUGGACCUCAGCGGCAGCUCCUGCCUAGAGGUUAAACCACUGUCAGUCCUGGCCUGGGGAGGAGUGGGGGGCACAGCAUGCCAAGCUUCUAGCCUAGGAAGCCACUGGGACCCAGUGGGGAGGUGGAGUAGGGUCAGGGAGGCAAGCCAGGCACCAACUUGAGCUUUUUUUUUAAGU
Molecule: long non-coding RNA, 1075 nt
Organism: Acinonyx jubatus (cheetah)
Lineage: Eukaryota; Metazoa; Chordata; Mammalia; Carnivora; Felidae
Exons: 3
Source: RefSeq, a predicted model, not a curated record